CGACCGUGACAGGACUCGAACCUGCAAUCCUCAGAUCCGAAGUCUGAUGCCUUAUCCAUUAGGCCACACGGCC
This 73-nucleotide transfer RNA is filed under the name Caligus rogercresseyi. Its description in RNAcentral is "tRNA-Arg". The record is from RNAcentral. Lineage: Eukaryota; Metazoa; Arthropoda; Copepoda; Siphonostomatoida; Caligidae.